CCACACAAGAGCUGCUUUGCCUUUCUAAGGCAGUGCAGUCUCAAGCCUGCAUGUCAACUCCUCUGCUUGGGUUCUCUGUGUACUCACUUUCAGGCUAUACAAGCUGAAGUAGAAGCAACUCUUCAUUGGUUCAUGUAAAAGUCUCCUGGGAGUAAAACAAGAAUUCAAGUAAGCUGUCAUAAAUCAAAGAAUUUUAACAAAUUAACUGAAGGUGUCUAAAUGUGACAAAAUCUAAAGAAGGUAAAGAUUGAAUAGAAUCCUGAAAUGUUUCCAGAUUCCUGUAAUUCCAGAAAGGAAGACUAAAUUGGCUACAUCUUUUCCUGGAUGCCAGGUGCUGAGACUGCUAUGAUGACUUAGAAGCAGUUUCUGUCCUGAAGAGGUUGGCAGUCUGGUAUAAAACACACAGAAGUAAAGGAUAAGAUGCAACACAGUGAGCAAGGGGAAAGAAGAAGAAAGUGGUGGUGAUGGUGACUACAAAAAGGCUGAUUAGUGAUGAAGCAAAUGAAGUUUGCAUGAUGCCUUCCAGAAGGGGUCCUAGCAAGAACAUCCAGUACUUGAAUGGGAGUUAACCUAAAACCAUGAAGCAAGCUUAACAGCAUGAGUCACUCAGAAUCAAUAUAAACUCUACAAGCAACUUAACUUCAGUGGAAAUCAAGAAACACACAGACUUUUAAGCAAAGAACUCUGACAAUCAGUCAUGAUACCUUGACAGCAAAAGGAGAUGAGCUAAAUAAGCAGCUUAAAGAGUAGUGUUUAAAAGCCUUCAAGCUUAAGAAACAAUUAUAUUCUGUGACAUUUUUUGAAAGAAGAUUAGAAGAGGUAAUCUCCCAAAGAGUUUUCUGCCGAUGCUUUGAUUUGAAUUUCCAACCUCCAGAACUACAAGUAAAGUUUUUCUGUUAUUUACCACUUCA
Ictidomys tridecemlineatus (thirteen-lined ground squirrel) is the source of this 911-nucleotide non-coding RNA. Lineage: Eukaryota; Metazoa; Chordata; Mammalia; Rodentia; Sciuridae. The record is from RefSeq and is a predicted model, not a curated record.